UCACGCAAUAGGUAUUAAAGACCCGCAAAAACAAUAACAUUAUAGCGAUAAUUAAUGAAAACAAAUUUUCACUUCAUUUCAUGGAAGAAAUACAAAGCGCUAAAUAGCUAAGGUACAUUAGUUUCUUCUUCUCCCCUAUCAGUGUCUUAGCUCACGUUGUCAAUCUUAGUAGGAGGGAUCAUGUUGUCAUUCUCAACUGGGUCCUUGUCUAAGUAGAAAUCUUCUGAGUUUUUCCAGGUGGACACGAAUAAGUCCC
This 256-nucleotide long non-coding RNA is filed under the name Gossypium barbadense (sea-island cotton). RNAcentral describes it as "long non-coding RNA (GBAR_LNC000641)". Lineage: Eukaryota; Viridiplantae; Streptophyta; Magnoliopsida; Malvales; Malvaceae. The record is from RNAcentral.